This 207-nucleotide ribosomal RNA is filed under the name uncultured bacterium. Its description in RNAcentral is "partial 16S ribosomal RNA". It matches the Rfam family "Bacterial small subunit ribosomal RNA", at positions 568 to 774 of the family's 1533-position model. The record is from RNAcentral.
CAUGUAGGCGGAUUGGUCAGUUGGGGGUGAAAGCCCGGAGCUCAACUCCGGAACGGCCUUCAAUACUGCCAGUCUAGAGUCUGUAAGGGGGUGGUGGAAUUCCGAGUGUAGAGGUGAAAUUCGUAGAUAUUCGGAGGAACACCAGUGGCGAAGGCGACCACCUGGUACAGUACUGACGCUGAGAUGCGAAAGCGUGGGGAGCAAACA